AUUGAACGCUGGCGGCAUGCCUUACACAUGCAAGUCGAACGGCAGCACGGGAGCAAUCCUGGUGGCGAGUGGCGAACGGGUGAGUAAUAUAUCGGAACGUGCCCAGUCGUGGGGAUAACGUAGCGAAAGCUACGCUAAUACCGCAUACGAUCUAUGGAUGAAAGCGGGGGAUCGCAAGACCUCGCGCGAUUGGAGCGGCCGAUAUCAGAUUAGGUAGUUGGUGAGGUAAAGGCUCACCAAGCCGACGAUCUGUAGCUGGUCUGAGAGGACGACCAGCCACACUGGGACUGAGACACGGCCCAGACUCCUACGGGAAGCAGCAGUGGGGAAUUUUGGACAAUGGGCGCAAGCCUGAUCCAGCAAUGCCGCGUGCAGGAUGAAGGCCUCGGUGUAACU
This 396-nucleotide ribosomal RNA is filed under the name uncultured bacterium. RNAcentral's name for it is "bacterial SSU rRNA". It matches the Rfam family "Bacterial small subunit ribosomal RNA", at positions 30 to 431 of the family's 1533-position model. The record is from RNAcentral.